UGAGAUUUCCAUUGACGUUCCGUCAGGAAGACCCCUCAGAGAUGAUGAGGUAGAUAGGUCCGGAGUGGAAGCGCGGUGACGCGUGAAGCGGACGGAUACUAAUCGGUCAAAGACUUAACCGAAA
This 124-nucleotide ribosomal RNA is filed under the name Sporolactobacillus sp. THM7-7. RNAcentral's name for it is "partial 23S ribosomal RNA". It matches the Rfam family "Bacterial large subunit ribosomal RNA", at positions 2805 to 2925 of the family's 2925-position model. The record is from RNAcentral. Lineage: Bacteria; Bacillati; Bacillota; Bacilli; Caryophanales; Sporolactobacillaceae.